Molecule: unclassified non-coding RNA, 255 nt
Filed under: uncultured fungus
Lineage: Eukaryota; Fungi
Description: sequence contains ITS1
Source: RNAcentral
GUAUUGAUUGCGGGUUAGCGCAUAAAUGAGGUCAUUCUACACUUUUUAAAAGGGGUGUUUGUGUGAAAACGCGAGCCUCCUCCGAGAUGAUCCCAAAGGGUGCCCACGCGGUGAUGCACAAAGGGUGAGAUGGAUUUUUAUGUGAGAGGACACACUCUGGCGUGCACGACUCUUGUGGUAAAAGUCAGCGACAGCCCUCGCAUGCCUCACACAUUUUGUACGAUAAUGAUCCUUCCGCAGGUUCACCUACGGAAA